Molecule: ribosomal RNA, 153 nt
Filed under: Cladosporium sp. SS-S12
Lineage: Eukaryota; Fungi; Ascomycota; Dothideomycetes; Cladosporiales; Cladosporiaceae
Description: partial 18S ribosomal RNA
Rfam family: Eukaryotic small subunit ribosomal RNA
Source: RNAcentral
AAACCCGAAUUGAAUGGCUCGGUGAGGCCUUCGGACUGGCCCAGGGAGGUCGGCAACGACCACCCAGGGCCGGAAAGUUGGUCAAACCCGGUCAUUUAGAGGAAGUAAAAGUCGUAACAAGGUCUCCGUAGGUGAACCUGCGGAGGGAUCAUU